UACGGAGGGUGCAAGCGUUAAUCGGAAUUACUGGGCGUAAAGCGUGCGCAGGCGGUCUUUUAAGUCGGGUGUUAAAGGCCCGAGCUCAACCUGGGAAUUGCACCGGAAACUGGAAGGCUAGAGUAUAGUAGAGGAAGGUGGAAUUCCCGGUGUAGCGGUGAAAUGCGUAGAGAUCGGGAGGAACACCAGUGGCGAAGGCGGCCUUCUGGACCAAAACUGACGCUCAGGCACGAAAGCGUGGGGAGCAAACAGG
This 253-nucleotide ribosomal RNA is filed under the name uncultured bacterium. Its description in RNAcentral is "partial 16S ribosomal RNA". It matches the Rfam family "Bacterial small subunit ribosomal RNA", at positions 524 to 776 of the family's 1533-position model. The record is from RNAcentral.